RNAcentral lists this long non-coding RNA (295 nucleotides) under Physcomitrium patens. RNAcentral describes it as "long non-coding RNA (PPAT_LNC009263)". Lineage: Eukaryota; Viridiplantae; Streptophyta; Bryopsida; Funariales; Funariaceae. The record is from RNAcentral.
AAUAGCAUAAUGACCAAUUUGUCUGCAACGAAAACAACAAAGUCAUCUUACUGUACCCCCAUCAGGCAUAUUGGGUGUUUCCACUGAUAUAUACCUCGUAAGCUUGUUCCAUGUAGGAUUAGAAAAUGAUCCUGGUCGUUCUGUUGGUACAAAGGGUACUUGGUUCGAUGAUGUCGGUGGAGCAUACACUAGUGUCACAUUCGAUGGUAUAGAUUGCAAUGGAGUGAUAUUAACUGGCCCCUGAAUAUUGGCACUGGUAUUGGCCACUGCUUCUAACAUCUAAGCUAAUUAAAUA